RNAcentral lists this ribosomal RNA (448 nucleotides) under uncultured bacterium. RNAcentral describes it as "partial 16S ribosomal RNA". It matches the Rfam family "Bacterial small subunit ribosomal RNA", at positions 330 to 794 of the family's 1533-position model. The record is from RNAcentral.
GCCAGACUCCUACGGGAGGCAGCAGUGGGGGAUAUUGCACAAUGGGGGGAACCCUGAUGCAGCGACGCCGCGUGGGUGAAGGAGCGUUUCGGCGCGUAAAGCCCUAUCGGCAGGGAAGAAGGAGGACGGUACCUGACUAAGAAGCCCCGGCUAACUACGUGCCAGCAGCCGCGGUAAUACGUAGGGGGCAAGCGUUAUCCGGAUUUACUGGGUGUAAAGGGGGCGCAGACGGCAGCGCAAGCCAGGAGUGAAAGCCCGGGGCCCAACCCCGGGACUGCUCUUGGAACUGCGCGGCUGGAGUGCAGGAGGGGCAGGCGGAAUUCCUGGUGUAGCGGUGAAAUGCGUAGAUAUCAGGAGGAACACCGGUGGCGAAGGCGGCCUGCUGGACUGCGACUGACGUUGAGGCCCGAAAGCGUGGGGAGCAAACAGGAUUAGAUACCCUUGUAGU